UACAGAGGUCCCGAGCGUUGUUCGGAUUCACUGGGCGUAAAGGGUGCGUAGGUGGCUUGGUAAGUUUGAUGUGAAAGCUCAGGGCUCAACCCUGAAAUGGCAUUGAAUACUACUGAGCUGGAGGUUUGGAGGGGGGACUGGAAUUUACGGUGUAGCAGUGAAAUGCGUAGAUAUCGUAAGGAAGACCAGUGGCGAAGGCGAAUCUCUGGACAGUUACUGACACUGAGGCACGAAGGCCAGGGGAGCAAACGGG
Molecule: ribosomal RNA, 253 nt
Filed under: uncultured bacterium
Lineage: Bacteria
Description: partial 16S ribosomal RNA
Rfam family: Bacterial small subunit ribosomal RNA
Source: RNAcentral